This 305-nucleotide ribosomal RNA is filed under the name uncultured bacterium. RNAcentral's name for it is "bacterial SSU rRNA". It matches the Rfam family "Bacterial small subunit ribosomal RNA", at positions 337 to 634 of the family's 1533-position model. The record is from RNAcentral.
GCCUACGGGGGGCAGCAGUAGGGAAUCUUCCACAAUGGGCGAAAGCCUGAUGGAGCAACGCCGCGUGGGUGAAGAAGGUCUUCUGAUCGUAAAACCCUGUUGUUAGAGAAGAAAGUGCGUGAGAGUAACUGUUCACGUUUCGACGGUAUCUAACCAGAAAGCCACGGCUAACUACGUGCCAGAAGCCGCGGUAAUACGUAGGUGGCAAGCGUUAUCCGGAUUUAUUGGGCGUAAAGGGAACGCAGGCGGUCUUUUAAGUCUGAUGUGAAAGCCUUCGGCUUAACCGGAGUAGUGCAUUGGAAACU